UGGAGGUCCGAACCGACUAGUGUUGCAAAACUAGCGGAUGAGCUGUGGAUAGGGGUGAAAGGCUAAACAAACUUGGAAAUAGCUGGUUCUCUCCGAAAACUAUUUAGGUAGUGCCUCAAGUAUUACCGUCGGGGGUAGAGCACUGUUUAGGCUAGGGGGUCAUGGCGACUUACCAAACCUAUGCAAACUCCGAAUACCGAUGAGUACAGCUUGGGAGACAGAGCACCGGGUGCUAACGUCCGGACUCAAGAGGGAAACAACCCAGACCGCCAGCUAAGGUCCCUAAAAUUGGCUAAGUGGGAAACGAAGUGGGAAGGCUAAAACAGUCAGGAUGUUGGCUUAGAAGCAGCCAUCAUUUAAAGAAAGCGUAAUAGCUCACUGAUCGAGUCGUCCUGCGCGGAAGAUGUAACGGGGCUCAAGCCAGUUACCGAAGCUGCGGAUGCACCGCAAGGUGCGUGGUAGGAGAGCGUUCUGUAAGCCUGUGAAGGUGUCUUGAGAAGGAUGCUGGAGGUAUCAGAAGUGCGAAUGCUGACAUGAGUAGCGUUAAAGGGGGUGAAAAGCCCCCUCGCCGUAAGCGCAAGGUUUCCUACGCAACGUUCAUCGGCGUAGGGUGAGUCGGCCCCUAAGGCGAGGCAGAGAUGCGUAGCUGAUGGGAAACAGGUGAAUAUUCCUGUACCGAUUGCAAGUGCGAUGUGGGGACGGAGAAGGUUAGCUCAGCCGGGUGUUGGAUGUCCCGGUUCAAGCGUGUAGUCAUGCCCUCUAGGCAAAUCCGGAGGGCUAAGAUGAGGCGUGAUAACGAGUCUGCUUGCAGACGAAGUGAGUGAUACCCUGCUUCCAAGAAAAGCCACUAAGCUCCAGCUUGCAACGACCGUACCGCAAACCGACACUGGUGCGCGUGAUGAGUAUUCUCAGGCGCUUGAGAGAACUCUGGAGAAGGAACUCGGCAAAUUGACACCGUAACUUCGGAAGAAGGUGUGCCUUUAGUCAGUGAAGCCCCUCGCGGGUGGAGCUAAACGAGGCCGCAGAGAAUCGGUGGCUGCGACUGUUUAAUAAAAACACAGCACUCUGCAAAGACGAAAGUCGACGUAUAGGGUGUGACGCCUGCCCGGUGCUGGAAGAUUAAUUGAUGGGGUGCAAGCUCUUGAUCGAAGUCCCAGUAAACGGCGGCCGUAACUAUAACGGUCCUAAGGUAGCGAAAUUCCUUGUCGGGUAAGUUCCGACCUGCACGAAUGGCGUAACGAUGGCCACACUGUCUCCUCCAGAGACUCAGCGAAGUUGAAAUGUUUGUGAUGAUGCAAUCUCCCCGCGGAAAGACGGAAAGACCCCAUGAACCUUUACUGUAGCUUUACAUUGGACUUUGAACAGAUCUGUGUAGGAUAGGUGGGAGGCUUUGAAGCCAGGACGCUAGUUCUGGUGGAGCCGACGUUGAAAUACCACCCUGGUGUGUUUGAGGUUCUAACCUUGGUCCCUGAUCGGGAUUGGGGACAGUGUAUGGUGGGCAGUUUGACUGGGGCGGUCUCCUCCCAAAGUGUAACGGAGGAGUUCGAAGGUACGCUAGCCACGGUCGGAAAUCGUGGUGAUAGUGCAUUGGCAUAAGCGUGCUUGACUGCGAGACUGACAAGUCGAGCAGGUACGAAAGUAGGACAAAGUGAUCCGGUGGUUCUGUAUGGAAGGGCCAUCGCUCAACGGAUAAAAGGUACUCUGGGGAUAACAGGCUGAUACCGCCCAAGAGUUCAUAUCGACGGCGGUGUUUGGCACCUCGAUGUCGGCUCAU
Molecule: ribosomal RNA, 1774 nt
Filed under: freshwater metagenome
Description: bacterial LSU rRNA
Rfam family: Bacterial large subunit ribosomal RNA
Source: RNAcentral